UAGUAUAUACAUUUACUUUUGUGACACAUUGUUCCUUUAUUAAAAAAUAUUUUAAUUUAUUUAAAACUUCAAAUAUGGUUCGAAAUCGUUUGAAAUCGCCUUCAUCGGUCAAUUUGGAUAAAAAUCAAAAUUUCAAUUGUUUCGUGCGCGUAAUUGGCUAACUAAUCGAAUAGCCUUAAACUUUCUUUAAGCUGUAUUGUGAGCUUUCUUCAACACAAAAGAGUUAUGUGACUGCCUCUACAACUGCAUGAAAUUAAACAACCCAGUAAUUUUGAUCUCAUAAAAUGGCUUCCAAAAGACAGAAGUUUGAAUUCCAAGAUCCAACUAUACCGAAUAUGAGUGCUAAGUCCAAGAUCUGAAGGAAUGGAAGUGCCCUUAUUAAGAUGCGUCCGUUAGAUAAUUAACAAACCUCUCCAAACCGCACAACCACCACACCAGUUAGCUAGCCAGCUAGUCAGCCCAGGGCCCAACCAGGCCAAACAAAACCCUAGCCAAGCCAACCAAACCACCCACCCACCCCAAAUCUACAUGAUGAUCAAAUGUGAGCACAUUAAAAACUUUUCACUUUGCAUCAACAAAAAUCCCCCACAAUCAUCACCAGUGUGCCUCGUCCACAAGCACGCACCAAGUACAGGCACAGGCAUCACAUAGAUAGAUGUAUCUCAAUAUGUGCGCUUUGGCCUACCUAACCCCGGAGCAUACUCCAGACCAAAAGAUACAAACACACUAUACGACGGAUAGUUCGGAUCGGAGUCUGUUCUGUUCAUAGAGCAGACCCAGAGAUACAAACAAAACAAUUCAAACAGAUAUUAUUCACCUAGCCAAGCAUAGAGGAGGCAUGCCUCUGGUUAUUAUUACCUUCUAUACCUUGCUUCGUAUUAUACAUCAGCGACUCUCUGCAGAAUGUGUAUCGAUACAGUGCAUCUGUGCAUAGUUGCAUCCAACAAAACAGCAAAAAAAAAAAAAAACAACUAUCGCACGGAUAUGUGUAGUUGUAUGUGCGCUACCCCAACCUCCAGGUCCAUCAACCGAUCGAACUUGGACAAACUUCACACUGAGCUGAACUGAACUGAGUUGAGGCUUGCCCAUGGGAAAAGCUGAUGAUAUACCUAGAUACCUUGCCUUACUCUACCCUACCCGAAACCAUACCAUUAUUAUCUACCUUGUUGGUCAGAUAGUUUUGUGGAGAGAAUAUGUUUUGCUGUAGCAUUAAAAAUAAAGUACAAAAAAAAAAAAAAGACUAAGAGAAAAACAAAAAUGAAAAAUAGUUUUGACGACUGUUUAUUUGUUUAGGCUUAGAUGUUUUUGUUAGAUGUUUUUGCCGGGUGGUAAUUUCAGGUAAUUUACUUAUCUUUUCAACUUUAAAUGUGUUUAAAAAAAAAGUUCAGUCAGGUUGUUUGGGAUGAAUAUGAAUAAUGAUGGACACAAAAUGUUUUUGUAACUACUUAAAUUUUUGUAUCCUAGCAGCAAUCAGGUGGGAAGGUAAUAUUUUAUUAAAAUAUGUGAAAAUGGAUAAAAGGUGAAAUAUGUUAUAUGGUAUAAUGUUUUUUUUUUUAAAGCUUUGAAAAUGAGACAAAAUUUCUGGCUUUUCCAAAUUGGAUGAUUUCAUUUUUAUGAAAAAAAAAAAAUCAUGGAUGACUUAGGUGUUUGGGCCUCAAUCAAUUAAUUUUUUUGGACCAAAAAUAACGGUAUUUGUCAUAAUUAGGAUUUUGGAAAAACUUAACUUUUUCAAAAACGGCUCCAACGAUUUUGUUAAAAAAAAUUCAUACAGUCUAGGGAACAUUUUUUUUCGAAAAUCAUUUUACUAACGGUAGGUACCUGCCAUGGAACGAUGGAACCGUUUUUUUUUUUUUAAAUCAAGUUUUCUUCAAAACUACUUAUUCGAUUUCAGCGACAUUUUUAUUUACAAAAGCACUUAUAUAAUUUAAAUAUACAUAUAUCCUAAGCCAAAA
Molecule: long non-coding RNA, 1952 nt
Organism: Episyrphus balteatus (marmalade hoverfly)
Lineage: Eukaryota; Metazoa; Arthropoda; Insecta; Diptera; Syrphidae
Exons: 3
Source: RefSeq, a predicted model, not a curated record